GCCCCCGGGAUGAAACUGGUAGACGCAGGGGACUCAAAAUCCCCCGGUAGCGAUACCGUGUCGGUUCGAGUCCGACCGGAGGCA
RNAcentral lists this transfer RNA (84 nucleotides) under Solobacterium sp. RNAcentral describes it as "tRNA-Leu". It matches the Rfam family "tRNA". From Rfam's summary of the family: Transfer RNA (tRNA) molecules are approximately 80 nucleotides in length. Their secondary structure includes four short double-helical elements and three loops (D, anti-codon, and T loops). Lineage: Bacteria; Bacillati; Bacillota; Erysipelotrichia; Erysipelotrichales; Erysipelotrichaceae. The record is from RNAcentral.